CGCCAGGGCCAAUUGGGGUACCUGAAGGGCCAAUCGGGGUCAGGAAC
Molecule: non-coding RNA, 47 nt
Submitted as: unclassified sequences
Source: Rfam